UGCAGUCGACGGAAGGCCCUUCGGGGUACUCGAGUGGCGAACGGGUGAGUAACACGUGGGUGAUCUGCCCUGCACUUUGGGAUAAGCCUGGGAAACUGGGUCUAAUACCGAAUAGGACCACGCGCUUCAUGGUGUGUGGUGGAAAGCUUUUGCGGUGUGGGAUGGGCCCGCGGCCUAUCAGCUUGUUGGUGGGGUAAUGGCCUACCAAGGCGACGACGGGUAGCCGGCCUGAGAGGGUGACCGGCCACACUGGGACUGAGAUACGGCCCAGACUCCUACGGGAGGCAGCAGUGGGGAAUAUUGCACAAUGGGCGCAAGCCUGAUGCAGCGACGCCGCGUGAGGGAUGACGGCCUUCGGGUUGUAAACCUCUUUCAAUAGGGACGAAGCGCAAGUGACGGUACCUAUAGAAGAAGCACCGGCCAACUACGUGCCAGCAGCCGCGGUAAUACGUAGGGUGCGAGCGUUGUCCGGAAUUACUGGGCGUAAAGAGCUCGUAGGUGGUUUGUCGCGUUGUUCGUGAAAACUCACAGCUUAACUGUGGGCGUGCGGGCGAUACGGGCAGACUAGAGUACUGCAGGGGAGACUGGAAUUCCUGGUGUAGCGGUGGAAUGCGCAGAUAUCAGGAGGAACACCGGUGGCGAAGGCGGGUCUCUGGGCAGUAACUGACGCUGANGAGCGAAAGCGUGGGGAGCGAACAGGAUUAGAUACCCUGGUAGUCCACGCCGUNNCGGUGGGUACUAGGUGUGGGUUCU
This 753-nucleotide ribosomal RNA is filed under the name Mycolicibacterium mucogenicum. RNAcentral describes it as "bacterial SSU rRNA". It matches the Rfam family "Bacterial small subunit ribosomal RNA", at positions 56 to 830 of the family's 1533-position model. The record is from RNAcentral. Lineage: Bacteria; Bacillati; Actinomycetota; Actinomycetes; Mycobacteriales; Mycobacteriaceae.